Pelobates cultripes (western spadefoot toad) is the source of this 263-nucleotide non-coding RNA. The record is from the annotation of a GenBank genome assembly. Lineage: Eukaryota; Metazoa; Chordata; Amphibia; Anura; Pelobatidae.
CUAGGGGCCAACAUGUUUUUAAAAUUUUUAUUCUUUUUAAAAAUCACCACCGGAUGUUCAGAUAAAGAAUUACCCAAGACUGGAUCUUGUUGUAAAAUGGGCCAGAAUUCGCUAAAACUCCUUUUGCUCUUAAAAUGGUCAGUAUUAUACUGGGUGACAAAGGCUGAUUUAAAAUUAGUGUUAGCCACAGCCGCAGGAACUUUGUCCUCCAACAGUGUAUUACGUUCAAGGAGACCAAUAUAUGAAUUUAUUUUUCCAAGGUG